UUUCACCUCCACAGGGGCCAUAGCUCCUCGAUCGGGAGUUUAAACAUGGCGCCUGCUUCUCGCUUCAUCAUCCUCUGGCCGAGCGUGAAUGAUGACAGCCGCUGCGCGGUCAGAUCACUGGUUGGUUGUUCCAACUGAUCGUGAGUGAAUCUGGGUGCUCAAGCCUAACCAUCGCAUGUCACCCUCAUAAUUCGUCUUUUGGCUUUUCAGUCAACUCUCUCUGUCCAACCUUUCUUGCUGCCACCGUGCACGUACAGUGGGAAGUGAUUCCCGUGGCGCAUUGUGGGAAAUUCCAGCCCCUUCCACCAACCAGUAGCACAGAGAGCACUUCUAUAAAAACACAUCCAUCAAAUCUAAAUAUGUCCGGCACCAUCAAGCGGUACACAUAAAUGGUCAACCCCCGAGAACCUGUAGUUUGUUGUUGCAGAGCUUAAUAAAUAUAUGCCAGUACUCUGAAAAAAAAAAAAAAAACGCCGUCACUGUCUUUGUGAACUGGCUGACUGGUGUUAUAUGUCCAUAACGACCAGAAGCGGGUUGAUGGGACAUUGAAUAAGGGUAUUUUCUGUAGCUAGUCAGUUAGCAAGUGCUGAUGUGAUGUGAGGAGGAAAUAAGUGCUUGAAGAUCCACUAGAAAUUUCGC
Molecule: small RNA, 639 nt
Filed under: Histoplasma ohiense
Lineage: Eukaryota; Fungi; Ascomycota; Eurotiomycetes; Onygenales; Ajellomycetaceae
Description: hypothetical lncRNA
Source: RNAcentral